GGAAGUAAAAGUCGUAACAAGGUCUCCGUUGGUGAACCAGCGGAGGGAUCAUUAAAGAGUUGCAAAACUCCCUUUAAACCAUCGCGAACGUUACCCACGACGCCGUUGCCUCGGCGGAGCGUCGCCCCGUGCCGUCAAAAGUACGGGGCGUGCGCCCGCCGGGAGACCGGCACAACCAAACUCUUAUAACCAUUGGCCUCUCUGAGUAAGAUUUUUAAAUAAGUCAAAACUUUCAACAACGGAUCUCUUGGUUCUGGCAUCGAUGAAGAACGCAGCGAAAUGCGAUAAGUAAUGUGAAUUGCAGAAUUCAGUGAAUCAUCGAAUCUUUGAACGCACAUUGCGCCCGCCAGUAUUCUGGCGGGCAUGCCUGUUCGAGCGUCAUUUCAACCAUCAAGCCCUGCUUGUGUUGGGGUCCUGCGGCUGCCCGCAGGCCCUGAAAACCAGUGGCGGGCUCGCUAGUCACACCGAGCGCAGUAGCACAUCUCGCUUUGGUCGUGCGGCGGGUUCUUGCCGUAAAACACCCCCCUUUUAUCAAGGUUGACCUCGGAUCAGGUAGGAAUACCCGCUGAACUUAAGCAUAUCAAUAAGCGGAGGAAAAGAAACCAACAGGGAUUGCCCUAGUAACGGCGAGUGAAGCGGCAACAGCUCAAAUUUGAAAUCUGGCUUCGGCCCGAGUUGUAAUUUGUAGAGGGAGCUUUUGGCGAGGCACCUACUGAGUCCCCUGGAACGGGGCGCCAUAGAGGGUGAGAGCCCCGUAUAGUAGGACGCCGAGUCUUUGUAAAGCCCCUUCGACGAGUC
Molecule: small RNA, 798 nt
Filed under: uncultured Chaetomium
Lineage: Eukaryota; Fungi; Ascomycota; Sordariomycetes; Sordariales; Chaetomiaceae
Description: eukaryotic LSU rRNA
Rfam family: Eukaryotic large subunit ribosomal RNA (bases 539-798)
Source: RNAcentral